GGCACCAGCCCAAUCAGGCUCCACGGAGGUCAGGCCUAGUUGCUGGAAUCCUGGGAGCAGAGAAGUUCUAUUUCAGUUGGGAGUUGAGGGGUGGUGAUGUCAGCCUGUGGCAGUUGGUGACUAUCUUGCUCUCGUAAAGGCAGAGCCAUGUGAAGAUGACACCAGUGGCAGAGCCCAGAGGUGGGGAAAGAUGACUUCUGCUGAUGUCACUGAGCACCAGGUACAGCUCUGCCUGAAGCUAUCUCCUUGUGGAUGUCUCAGUUAGGCUGUCUGCUGCAUGAGAAUGGAGACCUGCCUGCUUCACUCCCUGCUGUGCCCGGUAUAUGGAACCCGCCCAACACACAGUAGGACCUCAGCGAAUGUGUGACGGGUGUGUGAUCACUGUAGGCCACAGACAAAGGUCUUCCCAGCAGUGAUGAAACCCUGUGACAGAUCCUGUCCACAGCACCCUGCUCCUCCGAUCCUGACCCCAGGCUUUCCCAUGGGGUGUGACCCCGCAUGGGGUGCAGUCCCCUCCUCCAGUCUGACGUCAGUAAUCUUGGACCCGUUCUUGGAGCAGAGAAUUGAGUACCUUCCUAAAGUGUACGUUGACACUCCAUAUGUUUCUGCCAGUAUCAGCGAGGUUCAAUAUGUCUCAUGAAUGUCUUUUGAGCCUGGUAUUCUCAACAGAAGUCUCCAUGCCAGUAUUCUCCAUUGUAGCAGAACAACUCUCAUCAAUGUGUUCGCAUCUCACCUCAAUUUGUGCAGCCAGCUUUUCUGCCAACUUCCUUCAUGUCUCCUAUAAAGUCAAAUUCUAAAGGACAGGGCAAGUCUGAAAGUACCUCGGAGCCUCACCUGUAAGCUGAUGACAGGCAGAUCUUCCACUAUCUGCCCUUUCAGAUUCUGGAAACUGACCCGUGAACUCAGGCCAUUGCGCAGCACGAGUAUCUCGAACUUACACAGAUUCCAGAAAAAGAGACUUAAGCCAAGCUCCAUAGAGGGCGGUACCGCCUUCAUGACACUGAUCCACCCACAGAAUUCUGCCCAGUUAACUUGGAUCCACCAGCCACAACAAUCCUGGCAGAACACACCAAGAUUC
Camelus dromedarius (Arabian camel) is the source of this 1078-nucleotide long non-coding RNA. RefSeq lists it as uncharacterized. The transcript is spliced from 4 exons. The record is from RefSeq and is a predicted model, not a curated record. NCBI's taxonomy places the organism in Eukaryota, Metazoa, Chordata, Mammalia, Artiodactyla, Camelidae.